RNAcentral lists this long non-coding RNA (3029 nucleotides) under Homo sapiens (human). RNAcentral describes it as "non-protein coding lnc-CXCR5-1:8". Lineage: Eukaryota; Metazoa; Chordata; Mammalia; Primates; Hominidae. The record is from RNAcentral.
ACUCAAGAUGGCGAAACCUCGGCCGCCGCGGCUAUAUUCGCCGCGGCGUCACUGCCUUCCUGGCCUGGUGGUGAGAGGAAGUCGGGCCGCGAAAGCUUCCUGAGGAGAAAAUGGAGGGCCCUUCUCUCACACCGACGAGAAAAGUUCGAGGGGGAAAUACGAGUUCCUUUCUGAAGGGACAGGACGGCUGCUUUUCCACAGCCGCGACGUGAUUGAGAAAUGGUGGCUGGCAAGGGUAGGCCUGCCUUCGCCCCUCCAAAGUAAAAAUCGGGAGUUGAGACCAGAGGAACAUCUCUUUAUUACAUGACUAAGGAUAUGUUUUGAAAACUGGCCCCCGGGCAGCUGCUCGGGGACAGGAAGCUGACCUGACUUCUCCAGCUGGCCGGGGAGGCUGAUGCCGGGCCUAAGGGGCCGCGUCCGAGCCUCUCGGGGCGCGCCUCCAUGCAGGAAGGCGCGGAACUAGCGACCCGGAGACGCCGGGCGCGCGUCUGAGUGUGGGGGCAGGAAGGGGGGCCGACCGGGCCCGGAGGCCGCACCAGGCAGGAGGGAGGACUCCAGAGAGUGCGCGGGGGGCGCUGCGCGGUGGGACGGGGCGAGCCUGUAGGGCGCGCCUGGCGGCGGGUAGGCUCCGGGCUUGAGGGUGCGCCUGGGGGCGCUGGUUGUGGGGGAAGGCACCGGGCUUGAGGGUGCACCUGGGCGGGGGAAGUCUUCGGGCAUGAGGGCGCGCCUGCGGGUGGUAUGGGGGGGUACACCGAGCUUGAGGGUGCGCCCGGGGGGCUCUCAUGUGAAGGGUACCAGGCUUGAGGGCGCCCCUGCGGGGGGCGCAGAGGCACCGAGCUUGAGGGUGCGCCUCGGGGGUCUGCGGGGGGAAGGCACCGGACUUGAGCGUGCGCCGGGAGAGGACGGCGGGGGACCGGACUGUGAGGGCGUAUCUUGGGGGACCUGUCUAGGAGGAACCGGGAGGUGAAGGCACAACUGGGGGUGAGGCGGGGGCAGGGGCCGGGCUGUGAGAGUGCGACUGAGGGGGGAUUACUCCGGAGAGCACGGAGCUGGGGGCGUUGCGCAGGUGGAGUGGGGAGGCCUGGUGGAGAGGGUAGCAAACCGAGAGAGCGCACCGGGGUGGUGGGGGGAGAAGCUGGACUGUAAGGUGAAGAGUUAGUAGGGCGCAACCGUCUUCUCCUGCCCUCGAAGGGCAAGACUGAAGAAAGUAGGGGCGGAGGAGGCCGGGCCCUCCACUAAAGGGAGGGAAGCUAGUGAAGCGUCAGUUAUAAUAGAAAUAGGAAUUCAGUAAGGAAAUGGAGAAGCUUAAGGCAAAGGGUGACUCUCCGGCCUGACCCUCACUAUGAAGAUAUUUAUGUAUGUUCCCAUAAUACUUUUCAGAUCCCAAUGUCUGUGUUUAUCCUUGACAGAAAUAAUAGAACUGCUGUCUUCUUCCAAGUUAAACAAAACUUUGGAGCUAAAAGCUAGCUAGGUCAAGAGAAACAAAAUCUAAUCCUCACCCAAUUGAGAGACUGAAUAUACAAAGAAUGGCCAAACCUAACCAUGACCUCCUACCCAUAACCUCUUCAGUAAUCGGCCAGAAGGGUCAGGACUUAAUCUUUAACCGGCAGCUUCCCUAUUUCUUGCCCCUGCUUCCAGCUCUGGGCCAAUCAGAGAAAGCCAAAUGUGCUCCUCACACCAAUCGCGUAAGAAGCCCUGCUUCUAGUAUAGCCCUCCUCCAACUUCCCGAUGCCAACAUCCUCCAAUCAGAGCCAACCUGAAGUUUCUCCCUUUUUUCAGUAUAUGUAAAGCUUUUCCACUCCCCUGCCUGCCUAUGAGUCUGUUAAAUCAAGUGAUGGGUCGCGGCUGACUCUUGCCAGCUCUGAGUAAAUAGCCUAUUCUCAUUUGGUGGUCGUUAUUUCUACACAGCCGGUGGGAAGGUGGUGGAGAAUAGUGAAGACUAUUCUUAAGGUUAAAAAGAAGGUUCGGCUUACAUUUUUUUUUUAUUUUAAAUUUACAGCAUGGCGUCUCCAGCCCAGGUUUUAAAAUACCUUCUAAUGUAAGGAAAUAGCCCUGCACCUUGUGCCCAUCCUAGAGAGAAAAUGGUUUCUUAAUAAAAAAUGUAUGAGGCCUUUUUUGCCCCAAUAUCUUCCCAAGCAGAGGAAUGUGAAGGGGGGUUGGGCCAAGAAGUGAGUGGUAGGAAGAGAGGCCUACGGAUUUAAAACAGGCCACUGCUUGGAGGGGUGUCUUUCCUAAACCACUGAAGAAAUUGAACCAGGCAAAGGAAGGGGGUUCACACCCACAAAUAAACUAUAACCUACAAAAGGAGCCCGGGUUCACAUCCACAAAUAAAUUGUAACCUACACAAGGAGUCUGGUUGAGGUCACAAAACAAAAGCCAGGAGGCAACCAAAAGUAGAAUAUGAAAUAGGUGCUGCCUUCUCACCUAGGAAUCCUUCCAGGGCUAAAACCUUCAAAUAUUCUGCUUUUAAGGUAGUCAGAUACCCUCACAACUCAUUUACAUCAGCCCUUCUCUGUUUUCAAGUGAGAAGCAUAGAUGGUUUAGAAUUAAGCUAUGAACUCUUGGAUCUUUUCUUCCAAGUUUAGUGUUAGUGGUAGAUAGGUCUAGUCCAACUAUCUCAAUACAUUGUUUUCUCCCUAGUUAAAACAGAUUUGCAAGAAUCAUUUGUAUGACACUUUAGGAAUACAGAUAAAUUGCUAGUGCAAAUAAUAUCCUUAUAUUUAUAAAAUAUAUGUGUACUUUUAAAAAAGUUAUAUGAAUCCAAUCCUCUGGCCUUUUAGUUAGUAUUGAGUGUGAUAGUUGUGGGAGAUCUGUAGUAAAUACGGUUUCUGAAGGGUGUGCUAUCAUCCCUAAUGAACUCACCUAUUAAUUGUGGUAAAGAGUUUUUCACUUGGGCUGGGCACGGUGGCUCACGCCUGUAAUCCCAGCACUUUGGGAGGCCGAGGCAGGUGGGUCGACUGAGGUCAGGAGUUCCAGACCAGCCUAGCCAACAUGGUGAAACCCCGUCUGUACUAAAAAAAAAAAAAAGA